GGGGCUGAUUCUGGAUUCGACGGGAUUUGCGAAACCCAAGGUGCAUGCCGAGGGGCGGUUGGCCUCGUAAAAAGCCGCAAAAAAAUAGUCGCAAACGACGAAACCUACGCUUUAGCAGCUUAAUAACCUGCUUAGAGCCCUCUCUCCCUAGCCUCCGCUCUUAGGACGGGGAGCAAGAGAGGUCAAACCCAAAAGAGAUCGCGCGGAUGCCCUGCCUGGGGUUGAAGCGUUAAAACGAAUCAGGCUAGUCUGGUAGUGGCGUGUCCGUCCGCAGGUGCCAGGCGAAUGUAAAGACUGACUAAGCAUGUAGUACCGAGGAUGUAGGAAUUUCGGACGCGGGUUCAACUCCCGCCAGCUCCACCA
Molecule: transfer-messenger RNA, 363 nt
Filed under: Salmonella enterica
Lineage: Bacteria; Pseudomonadati; Pseudomonadota; Gammaproteobacteria; Enterobacterales; Enterobacteriaceae
Also listed under: 1 other name
Description: Standard tmRNA
Rfam family: transfer-messenger RNA
About the family: Bacterial tmRNA, also known as 10Sa RNA or SsrA, is named for its dual tRNA and mRNA-like properties. Its role is to liberate the mRNA from a stalled ribosome.
Source: RNAcentral